AAAAAAGAUGUGGUAUGAUUGCCAAUGAGACAACUGUCCACAAGAGACCAAAAUGACACAGACAUUAACACCUAUAGGUCACCGUACGGCCUUCAACAAUGAGCAAAACCCAUACCACAUAGUCAGCUAUAAAAGGCUCCGAUAAGACAAUGUAAAACAAUUCAAACGAGAAAACUAACGGCCUUAUUUAUAUAUAAAAAAGACGAAAAACAAAUAUGUAACACAUAAACUAACGACAACCACUGAAUUACAUGCUCCUGACUUGGGACAGGCACAUACAUAAAUAAUGUGGCGGGG
RNAcentral lists this long non-coding RNA (297 nucleotides) under Mytilus galloprovincialis (Mediterranean mussel). Lineage: Eukaryota; Metazoa; Mollusca; Bivalvia; Mytilida; Mytilidae. The record is from RNAcentral.